Molecule: long non-coding RNA, 2900 nt
Organism: Physeter macrocephalus (sperm whale)
Lineage: Eukaryota; Metazoa; Chordata; Mammalia; Artiodactyla; Physeteridae
Exons: 3
Source: RefSeq, a predicted model, not a curated record
UCUCUGUUCUAGCACUCUAUACUUCCUUGGCUAGACGGUAGGUAUUAUUCCCCUCUUACUAUGAUAUUUACUGUGUGCUUUAUUAUUCCAGAUCACAGAAGAGCAUAAUGGAUGGGAGCGCAGAUUCCCCCACUUAGCAUUUCUGUAACUUGGGAAAGUUACUUAGUCUUUCUAAACCUCAGUUUUUCAUUUGUAAAAUGGGGAUAAUAAAAGUACAUACCUUGAAGGGUGUGGUAAGGAUUAAAGUCUUUAAUAUACAGAGAGCAUGUAACACUCUGAAAACACAGUUAGUGGGGUAUGGAAAGUGCUUAAUAAUUGCUAGCUUCUUGUAGCUACUGUGUGUCAGGUCCUAUGUUAAGUACUUCAAAUGCAUUAUUUCUUGGACUCAUUAGAAGAACUAUAUUGUUAUUGCUUAUUUGUUCAGCUUUACUGAGGUAUAACUGACAAAUAAAAUUGUAAGAUAUUAAAAAAAUAAUAGUAAAGUAGGGUAAGGAGGGGGCCAGAGAGAUGGCAGAGGUUACUCUGUGCUGUGGACUGAACGUAUGUGUCCCCCCUACAAUUCAUGUUGAAGCCCUAAUCCCUGAUGUGAUGGUAUUUGAAGGUGGGGCCUUUGGGAGGUAAUUAGGUCAUGAGGGUAGAUCCCUCAUGGAUGAGAUCACUGCCCUUAGAAGAAAAGACAUGAGAGAGGUGAUCAUUCUCUCUGUCAUGUGAGGACACAACCAAGAAGAAAGCCCACACCAGGAACCGAACCCGCUGACACCUUGAUCCUGGACUUCCAGCCUCCAGAACUCCCUCCAAACCCCUUUCCAGAGUCAACAAAUUUCCACUCCUAGGUAUUUACCCAAGAGAUGUCACACUUUCUCCAGAGUGGUAGUACCAUUUUGCACCGCCCACGAUGUAGAAGAAUUGCUGGUUGCUCCACAGCCUCGCCAGUACUGGGUUUUGUCAGCCUGUUAAUUUUAGCCAUGCUGGUGAGUAUACAGAGGUACCCCAUUAUAGUUUAAUUUGCAAUUCUUCAUGACUAAUGAUAUUGAAUGCUUUUUUUUUUUUUUUCUGCGUCAUGCAGCUUGCGGCAUCUUAGUUCCCCAACCAGGGAUCCAGCCCAUGCCCCCUGCAGUGGAAGCUAGAGUCCGAACCACUGGACCGCCACGGAAUUCCCUUGAAUGCUUUUUAUGUGCCUAUUAAGACCAUUUGUAGAUAUUCUUUAUGUUCAUAUCUUUAACCAGUUUUUUAACUGCACUGUUUAUCUUUUUAUUAUUGAUUUAUAGGAAGUCUUUAUAUAUUCUGAGUUAUUAACUGACAUAUCUUCUGGAAACCUGUCCUUUGUCUGAAAUAUAUUUUGCAAAUACUUUCUCCUAUUACGUGGCUUGCCUAUGCUUUUUCUUAUUUUCUUUUUUUCUCUCUUCAAGUUCAUUGAUUCUCUGAUUUGAUUUGAUUUGAUUGAUUUUUUGGCUCCACCUCAGGGCACGUGGGACCUUAGCUCCCCACCCAGGGAUGGAUCCUGCGCCCCCUGCACAGGAAGCAAGGAGUCUUAACCACUAGACUGCCAGGGAAGUCCCUGCCUAUGCAUUUUCUUAACUGUGCCUUUUGGUGAGCAAAAAUUCUUGAUGAAAUAUAACAUCACUUUUUCUUAUCAAUUUUUUCUUUUAUGAUUAUUUCUUUUUGUGUCCUGUCCAAAAAGCCUUUACCCAUCCCAAAGAUAUUCUCCUAUGGUUGCUUCUAGAAAGUUUAUAAUUAAUUAUAAAUUAAUUACUAAUUAAUUAUAAUAUUUAGGUCAAUGAUCCAUAUUAUUUAUGGCAUGAGGUAGGGGUCAAAGUUCUUUGUUUUUCAUACGUAUAUUUAGUUGUUCCAACAACAUUGCUUGAAAAGAUUUCCUUUCUUCAAUGGCAUCUUUGUUAAAAGUCAAAUAUCUGUAACAGUGCAGUUCCGUUUCUAGGCUCUCUGUUCUGUUGCUCUAUAUUCUGAUCUAUCCUUAUACUGUCACCACACAGUCUUGAUUAAGCUUAUGUUUAAAAUAUACAUUCCUACACCCCACCCCAGACCUAAUGUAUCAGAAUCAUGGGAGGAAGAGGUCCAGGAAUAUGCAGUUCUAACAAGCUUCCUAGUUGAUUCUUAUACACCCCAAAGUUAGAAAGUAUUACAUUACUUUAACACUCCUUCCUCUAAAACUGAUACAAAUUGGUGAGCUUACAAAUUAGGGUCCCCUUGGAAAGACCAGUGAACUUGGAUUUAGAAAACCUGAGCUCUGUCUCAGAUUUGCUACUCAAUAGCUAUAUUCCAUUUUAUUUACCAUAACCCAGGGCCUAAGUUUUUCAUGUGUAAAAGAAGAGGGUAGGUCUAGACUCAACUGUUCAAGUAUGGAUUGAGUACGUACACUGCCUAGCAAUUGCAGAAAUAAAGAUGAAUACAGUCUAGAUCAGGGCUUUCCAAAAAAGCUUUGUGAAGUGGAAAAUCUACUUUCCAUAUCGUCACCACUAGUCACACGUGGCUUUUAAGUGCUUGAAAUGGGGCUAGUGAGACCAUGGUAUUAAAUUUUUCACUUUAUAUAUUUUUAAGUAAUUUAAAUAGCUACUUGUGGCUAGUGGCUACUGUACUGGACAACACAGGGAAUGUAAAAAAUAAGUUAAAAGGUGAAAGAUGAAUUAAAAGAUUGGUUAAUGAAUGUCAGCUUCCUGGUUUUGGUAUUGUCCUACAGUUAUAAAAGAUGUCACCUUUGGGUGAAGCGGGGUGAAGAGCACAUGGACUCUUUGUACUGUGUUUGUAUCUUCCUUUGAGUCUAUAAUUAUUUUAAAAAUAAAAAGUUUUUCGGGCUUCCCUGGUGGCGCAGUGGUUGAGAGUCCGCCUGCCGAUGCAGGGGAUGCGGGUUCGUGCCCCGGUCCAGGAAGAUCCUACGUGCUGCA